GACGAACGCUGGCGGCGUGCCUAAUACAUGCAAGUUGAGCGCUGAAGGUUGGUCCUUGUACCAACUGGAUGAGCAGCGAACGGGUGAGUAACGCGUGGGGAAUCUGCCUUUGAGCGGGGGACAACAUUUGGAAACGAAUGCUAAUACCGCAUAAAAACUUUAAACACAAGUUUCAAGUUUGAAAGAUGCAAUUGCAUCACUCAAAGAUGAUCUCGCGUUGUAUUAGCUAGUUGGUGAGGUAAAGGCUCACCAAGGCGAUGAUACAUAGCCGACCUGAGAGGGUGAUCGGCCACAUUGGGACUGAGACACGGCCCAAACUCCUACGGGAGGCAGCAGUAGGGAAUCUUCGGGAAUGGACGAAAGUCUGACCGGGCAACGGCGCGUGAGUGAAGGAGGUUUUCGGAUCGUAAAACUCUGUUGGUAGAGAAGAACGUUGGUGGGAGUGAAAAGCUCAUCAAGUGACGGUAACUACCCAGAAAGGGACGGCUAACUACGUG
Molecule: ribosomal RNA, 497 nt
Filed under: uncultured bacterium
Lineage: Bacteria
Description: partial 16S ribosomal RNA
Rfam family: Bacterial small subunit ribosomal RNA
Source: RNAcentral